UAGCGAGAUACACUCUCUAUGCAUAUAUGUUUAUAGAUACAGAUAUACUUACAUGUCUAAAAAUCACGUUUAUUUAACUGUAAGCUCCUGAAGUGAGAAAGCAAGCAAUCUAAAAUAUUUAUGUCCACUAUGCAACUGCUAACAAAAUAACUCUUCUUUGACAUCAGUCUUCAGGACUUCCAGCACUUCAGCUUUGCCAUUUUUACAAUGGCUUUGUAGUAAAAGUAGUGCAAACCUUCUAAAAUCAACACAAUAAGUAACCUGGGGAGUAGGAGGUAAACUAAAUGAAGGUCAUCUUUCUACAUACAGAUGUAACCACAGAGCUAGGUGACAUAUUAAUAUUCACUGUAGUUUCAUUUUAAACCUCUGGGAGUUCAUUAGCUUCCCUCUUAUAUGUUAUUGUUCAAAUCCUGCCUAUGACAGAGCAAACAGAAAAGAUAACAAAAAUGAUUGAAUAGAAGGUAUUUUCCAGGUUGUGAAAAUGCAGCUGAAGUAAUACUGUGCUCUGCUGGGCUUCUCAUAUUUUGUUGUAUUACAGGAUAGAUGCAGAAAAUAAGAUGGUUCUCCCUCUUGAGGAAAAAAAACAUUUAUUAUGAGAAUGAAUGCACCAGUCAGAAAUCUGAGUAAAAAGACUUUCACAUGCCACAGAGACUCCCAAGCUACUACUUUCUUCUUGAAGAAUUUUUCCUUCGUCAAGGUAAGUUUAAUAAACUGUUUAUAUU
RNAcentral lists this long non-coding RNA (722 nucleotides) under Coturnix japonica (Japanese quail). RNAcentral describes it as "lncRNA (ENSCJPG00005016404.1)". Lineage: Eukaryota; Metazoa; Chordata; Aves; Galliformes; Phasianidae. The record is from RNAcentral.